RNAcentral lists this non-coding RNA (1415 nucleotides) under Ulva flexuosa. RNAcentral's name for it is "small subunit ribosomal RNA". It matches the Rfam family "Bacterial small subunit ribosomal RNA". The record is from RNAcentral. Lineage: Eukaryota; Viridiplantae; Chlorophyta; Ulvophyceae; Ulvales; Ulvaceae.
GAUAUUGUAAGGACGUUGAUUGUGCGUCCCUUUUAUUGCGACAGUUGGGAUUGACGCAUGCUAGUGUAAUGCUAUAAAGCAUUGCGCGUAAAGGGUAGGAAUGCAUGAGAAUAGGCUAAAGUAAUUUUGUUUAAAAUACAAAAAAAAUUAAUGUUCUUUAGAGAUUUCAUGGACGAUUAGGUUGUAUUGUCUAAUAGAUCAUAGCCGAUUAUCGUUAACUGCAUUGAGAGGUAGAGCAGUACCAGCUGUGUAGUAAGCACAGCCGAUCAUUUGAUUGCAGCAGCGCAAAACAUUUGCCAAUGAGCGAAAGCUUGAGCGAACCAAACUGGUAGGGGAACGAAGGAGAAUUCUGUAAACCCUUAAUGCUAGGGAAUAACUAGAGCGUACCUAGAGAGAAGAACGGACUAAUGCUGGUGCCAGGUGCGACAAGUAUGACUUAAUUAAUAGAGUGUAAUUCUCUUACGCAAAUAACUCUGCGUACCUGAAAAUUCACAUGCGUGCUGAGCCCUUGGUUUAGCAUGUAUGAAGACUGAACUAACAGGAAUGUGUGUAUGGUAAAUAAAGUGAAUUGGUGUAAGCUUAUGUGGUAGGGCAGCGCGUCUGGCUCGUGUUGUUGAGUUUUCAAAAAUCACAAAAGUAUAGCCAAUACCUAAGCGCACAAUAGAUUGUAAGUCCAUUCAGUCAACGAUGGCUUUUAUGUCUUGGCCUUUGGCCUUGAAUAAGCAAACGCGGAAAAAGCCCGCCUCAAUAGUACGAGCGCAAGCUUAAAAUUGAAACAAUUAAUGCGUGGAGAUUCAAUAUGGUGGAACAUGCGAUUUAAUUCGUCGCUACGCGCUAACCUUACGCGGUCUUGAUUAAUUACUAUACCCAUGUUUAAAAAAAAAACUUAGUUGGUAAUUAUAGCUUUGCAUGGUCGUGGUCAGCUCGUUUUUUGUAAAGUUGGGUUAAUUCCAUAAACGAGCGAAACGCGCAUGUUUAUAUUAACUAAUUUUAGUUAAGUGUAAAAUGUACCUAUAAACCACAGCGAAAGAAAUUUUCGAGGAGGGGCGCAUCAUCACAGAUCCUCAUGAAGUUCAUGAUCGCGGCUAUACGCGUGUUACAAUUGAUAAAUCAAACAGUAGCAAUUAUGCGAAUAAGUGCAAACCUGUAAACCUUAUCUAAACGGAUUGCAUUCUGCAACUCGAAUGUAUGAAGCAGGAAUCAUAAGUAAUCGUUUUAAAGAAUUGAAACGGUGAAAUUUGUUCAUCUCCGGCUAUUAAUAGCCCGUCAAUGCCUGGUUAACGAGUGUACAGGAAAAGUGUAGAUUGUAUACCUAUAUUUGAUUGUGUAUUUGGCAGCCGGGCAUAAGUCGUAACACAGUAAUCGUACCGGAAGGUGCGGUUGGCGCCAUUUUUUAAAAUACUUUUGAUUCCUUU